RNAcentral lists this ribosomal RNA (630 nucleotides) under Triticum aestivum (bread wheat). RNAcentral's name for it is "partial small subunit ribosomal RNA". Lineage: Eukaryota; Viridiplantae; Streptophyta; Magnoliopsida; Poales; Poaceae. The record is from RNAcentral.
AUGAGACAGAAAAAGGAUUUAUCAGGCCCACCACAUCGUUUGCUUUUUAUUCUAAGAAAAAGACAGGAGGAGAAAAUCGCCUUCAGCCCCUUCUCUGCCGUCCGCCUCGUCCUCUUCUCCUGCGCCGCCACCCCACCCCCUCUAUCCAGCGGUGUCGCCUCUCCUUCCCGGGACUGGGACGGGGAUGGGGGGCCCGGGGGCGGCAAGUUCCGUUGGAUGGUGGCGGUCGUCGCCUCGGAGGGCGCAAGGGGAGGCGUGCUGCUCGCGUCACUCGCGGAGCUCUGCGAGGCGCUCUCGUUCUGCACGGAGGACGCCGGGGGCUACUUCCCCGUCGAGUCUGCCGCGUCGUGUGGCUGGCCGGCGCCGAGGUCGCCAGCCCCGACGAGAUGCUGCUCGCCGUGCGCGCCAUCACCUGCAGGUGGUUGGAUAUUAGUUAUGAAGGUUGUCCCUGGAUUUUUGCUCUAUCGAGGACUGCAUGAGCUUGGUCAAUAUGCAUUCUCUGGAAAUUCUAUGGGAGCCAGCCGUAAAGAAGGAAUUCCUACUGUAUCCUGUGGCAUUCUUAGUCAGAAUUUGUUAUUGCCAUCGGAAGGUGUACUACUUGACCAUGUAGGAUGCAAGGUGUCACGAUGA